GACGAACGCUGGCGGCGUGCUUAACACAUGCAAGUCGAACGGAAAGGCCCUGCUUUUGUGGGGUGCUCGAGUGGCGAACGGGUGAGUAACACGUGAGUAACCUGCCCUUGACUUUGGGAUAACUUCAGGAAACUGGGGCUAAUACCGGAUAGGAGCUCCUGCUGCAUGGUGGGGGUUGGAAAGUUUCGGCGGUUGGGGAUGGACUCGCGGCUUAUCAGCUUGUUGGUGGGGUAGUGGCUUACCAAGGCUUUGACGGGUAGCCGGCCUGAGAGGGUGACCGGCCACAUUGGGACUGAGAUACGGCCCAGACUCCUACGGGAGGCAGCAGUGGGGAAUAUUGCACAAUGGGCGGAAGCCUGAUGCAGCAACGCCGCGUGCGGGAUGACGGCCUUCGGGUUGUAAACCGCUUUCGCCUGUGACGAAGCGUGAGUGACGGUAAUGGGUAAAGAAGCACCGGCUAACUACGUGCCAGCAGCCGCGGUGAUACGUAGGGUGCGAGCGUUGUCCGGAUUUAUUGGGCGUAAAGGGCUCGUAGGUGGUUGAUCGCGUCGGAAGUGUAAUCUUGGGGCUUAACCCUGAGCGUGCUUUCGAUACGGGUUGACUUGAGGAAGGUAGGGGAGAAUGGAAUUCCUGGUGGAGCGGUGGAAUGCGCAGAUAUCAGGAGGAACACCAGUGGCGAAGGCGGUUCUCUGGGCCUUUCCUGACGCUGAGGAGCGAAAGCGUGGGGAGCGAACAGGCUUAGAUACCCUGGUAGUCCACGCUGUAAACGGUGGGUACUAGGUGUGGGGUCCAUUCCACGGGUUCCGUGCCGUAGCUAACGCUUUAAGUACCCCGCCUGGGGAGUACGGCCGCAAGGCUAAAACUCAAAGGAAUUGACGGGGCCCCGCACAAGCGGCGGAGCAUGCGGAUUAAUUCGAUGCAACGCGUAGAACCUUACCUGGGUUUGACAUGGAUCGGGAGUGCUCAGAGAUGGGUGUGCCUCUUUUGGGGUCGGUUCACAGGUGGUGCAUGGCUGUCGUCAGCUCGUGUCGUGAGAUGUUGGGUUAAGUCCCGCAACGAGCGCAACCCUUGUUCACUGUUGCCAGCACGUUAUGGUGGGGACUCAGUGGAGACCGCCGGGGUCAACUCGGAGGAAGGUGGGGAUGACGUCAAGUCACCAUGCCCCUUAUGUCCAGGGCUUCACGCAUGCUACAAUGGCUGGUACAGAGAGUGGCGAGCCUGUGAGGGUGAGCGAAUCUCGGAAAGCCGGUCUCAGUUCGGAUUGGGGUCUGCAACUCGACCUCAUGAAGUCGGAGUCGCUAGUAAUCGCAGAUCAGCAACGCUGCGGUGAAUACGUUCCCGGGGCUUGUACACACCGCCCGUCAAGUCAUGAAAGUUGGUAACACCCGAAGCCGGUGGCCUAACCGUUGUGGGGGAGCCGUCGAAGGUGGGACUGGUGAUUAGGACUAAGUCGUAACAAGGUAGCCGUACCGGAAGG
This 1477-nucleotide ribosomal RNA is filed under the name uncultured bacterium. RNAcentral describes it as "16S ribosomal RNA". It matches the Rfam family "Bacterial small subunit ribosomal RNA". The record is from RNAcentral.